AAAGGAAAUUUUGCUUAAUAACUUUAUUAAAGAAAUUGUUAGCCACAUAAAAUAAUCAGUUGUUUAGGGUACAUCAUAAACAGUGCUAUCUUAAUUUAUUGUAACACAUACUUGAGUGUUGAGAAAAUGUCAUACUAAUAAGAUCCUUUGCUGCUUAACCAUGUGUAAAUGUUUAAAAAGAAAAAAGCUCUGAUAUCAGUAGUAUGACCAAUUAUGAUGGGGUGAAUUUUGCAGGUCUCAUUCAGGAACGUCGCCUGAUAACACUGCACCACCACCUCCCCCUCCAAGGCCACAGCCCUCUCAUUCUAGAUCAUCAUCUUUAGAUAUGAAUCGGACCUUUACAGUCACCACAGGACAACAACAGGCUGGAGUUGUUGCCCAUCCUCCUGCAGUGCCUCCAAGACCACAGCCCUCACAGGCUCCUGGUCCUGCUGUGCAUCGCCCAGUGGAUGCCGAUGGCCUCAUAACUCAUACUAGUACCUCACCUCAGCAGAUACCAGAGCAACCAAAUUUUGCAGAUUUCAGCCAGUUUGAAGUAUUUGCUGCAUCAAAUGUAAACGAAGAACAAGAUGAUGAAGCCGAGAAACAUCCGGAAGUCCUGCCGGUCAGUUUUCGAGGGCUUGGCUAAUUUUCUGCAGGCAGUCACUUCCCAUACCAUGUUGUGUCAACAAAGCAGAUAUUAGAGGGGACAUCAGCUGAAAAAGCUUCUGAUCCUGCAAGCUCUCUUCGAGUUGCCAAAACAGAUAGUAAAACUGAAGAAAAGACAGCUGCUAGUGCUCCUGCCAAUGUGAGCAAAGGCACAACACCACUUGCUCCACCACCUAAACCUGUUCGAAGAAGAUUAAAAUCAGAAGAUGAAUUAAGGCCAGAAGUUGAUGAACAUACACAAAAGACGGGUGUCUUAGCUGCUGUUCUUGCAUCACAACCUUCUAUUCCCAGAUCUGUUGGGAAAGAUAAGAAAGCUAUUCAGGCAUCAAUUAGACGUAAUAAGGAAACCAACACCGUUUUGGCCAGAUUGAAUAGCGAAUUGCAGCAACAAUUAAAGGAUGUUCUUGAGGAGAGAAUUUCCCUGGAAGUUCAACUGGAACAACUUCGACCAUUCUCUCACCUAUAAGCCAAUUGCCGUUAACUGUGAACAUACUUGUUUUUAAGUGGUUUUGGGUUCAAAGCCAAUUUGGAGACCCAAACAUUCAGCUCACUGCUUAACUCAACAUUAAAUUUUAUGAUUCUGUUUUGCCCUAUAUGUUCACCAUUGUAUUUAAGUAUCUUUUAUUUUUUAAUUUCGACAAUAAAAAGGUCAGGAUGACG
RNAcentral lists this small RNA (1308 nucleotides) under Pongo abelii (Sumatran orangutan). RNAcentral's name for it is "retained intron". The record is from RNAcentral. Lineage: Eukaryota; Metazoa; Chordata; Mammalia; Primates; Hominidae.